RNAcentral lists this small RNA (430 nucleotides) under Veronia pacifica. RNAcentral describes it as "Enterovibrio sp. sw014 cspA thermoregulator". It matches the Rfam family "cspA thermoregulator". The record is from Rfam by way of RNAcentral. Lineage: Bacteria; Pseudomonadati; Pseudomonadota; Gammaproteobacteria; Vibrionales; Vibrionaceae.
CCCGGCCUGACAGACAGACCUAUAAAAAUGUACUUUGCGUUAUGUUCCAGAAAACCUUCUUAUCAGUUUUGCUGCUGAAGUCUUUCCUUUCAUAAACAGGCACAUCACAUAGAUUAUUCUUUUUGGCUACAUCCGCAUCUAUGCGCCUUAAACACAAAAAUUUUAGGAGACAUCAUGUCUAAAGCAACUGGUACCGUUAAGUGGUUCAACGAAGAGAAAGGUUUUGGUUUCAUCACUCAGGACAACGGUGGUGCAGACGUAUUCGUUCACUUCCGUGCUAUCGCUUCUGAAGGCUUCAAAACUCUGGCUGAAGGCCAGCAAGUUUCUUUCGACGUUGAGCAAGGCCAGAAAGGUCCUCAAGCUGCAAACGUUGUUAAGCUGUAAUUUCAGCUUAAAGUAAAAAGAUGCCGGUUUAUCCGGCAUUUUUUGU